RNAcentral lists this ribosomal RNA (460 nucleotides) under uncultured bacterium. RNAcentral describes it as "partial 16S ribosomal RNA". It matches the Rfam family "Bacterial small subunit ribosomal RNA", at positions 338 to 795 of the family's 1533-position model. The record is from RNAcentral.
CCUACGGGAGGCAGCAGUGAGGAAUAUUGCUCAAUGGGCGCUAGCCUGAACCAGCAAAGCAGCGUGAAGGAUGAAUGCCCUAUGGGUUGUAAACUUCUUUUAUGUGGGAGUAAAGUGCAGUAUGUAGACUGCGUUGCAUGUACCUUCUGAAUAAGGAUCGGCUAACUCCGUGCCAGCAGCCGCGGUAAUACGGAGGAUCCGAGCGUUAUCCGGAUUUUUUGGGUUUAAAGGGAGCGUAGGCGGGUUGUUAAGUCAGUUGUGAAAGUUUGCGGCUCAACCGUGAAAUCGCAGUUGAUACUGGCAUCCUUGAGUACAGGAGAGGUAGGCGGAAUUCGUGGUGUAGCGGUGAAAUGCUUAGAUAUCACGAAGAACUCCGAUUGCGAAGGCAGCCUGCUGGACUGUAACUGACGCUGAUGCUCGAAAGUGUGGGUAUCAAACAGGAUUAGAUACCCGGGUAGUC